CAGGAAUUGCCUCUCUGACCAACAGUUACUGUAAAUCUUGUGCCAUUUGUGCCAAGGGCAACUCAGGAAGAAUGGAGGAAAGCCCCAAGCAUCUAGCCAAACCUCAUUAUCUCUUCCAGAGGAGUCAAGUUGACUACAUCCAGAAUGCCAAAGAGUGGCUGAUUCAAAUAUGCACUAAUUAUAGCAGACAUGUUUUCAGGAUAGCCAGAGGCCUAUCCAGCCACCAAAGUGAUAACCAAGACCACAUGCUGAGUAGUGCACCGUGAAAGUUACAGAGAUCACCCCGUGGAUUCAUCAUUCCAGAAUCAAGCCUGCCUCUGCAUCAUGUGAAGUAGCAUUUGUUGAUCUUGACAACCCUUUUUGAAACUCCAUUCUUAG
RNAcentral lists this long non-coding RNA (378 nucleotides) under Pelobates cultripes (western spadefoot toad). Lineage: Eukaryota; Metazoa; Chordata; Amphibia; Anura; Pelobatidae. The record is from RNAcentral.